AUACGAAGGGUGCGAGCGUUAAUCGGAAUUACUGGGCGUAAAGCGCGCGUAGGCGGUUGGAUAAGUCGGAUGUGAAAGCCCCGGCUCAACCUGGGAAUUGCAUUCGAAACUGUCCGGCUAGAGUAUGGUAGAGGGAAGCGGAAUUCCACAUGUAGCGGUGAAAUGCGUAGAUAUGUGGAGGAACACCAGUGGCGAAGGCGGCUUCCUGGACCAAUACUGACGCUGAGGUGCGAAAGCGUGGGGAGCAAACAGGAUUAGAUACCCUAGUAGUCC
RNAcentral lists this ribosomal RNA (273 nucleotides) under uncultured bacterium. Its description in RNAcentral is "partial 16S ribosomal RNA". It matches the Rfam family "Bacterial small subunit ribosomal RNA", at positions 523 to 796 of the family's 1533-position model. The record is from RNAcentral.